CGUGGUAAUGAUAAUAUAAGGUUAAUCAUUUUAAAUACAGUCGCUUUAUAGUCUAAUUCAAGACGGUGGUCGGUGGAAAAUUUAAUUUUUAACAUAAUUAUUCGAAUAAAACAAACAAAAAAUAUAAGAUAUAAAUUAUUAUUUAAAAAAACGUAUGACAAAUAUGAUUCGCGAGAGAGAACGAGAGUGAAGCGUGCACGAACAUGAC
Non-coding RNA from Cinara cedri, 208 nucleotides. Lineage: Eukaryota; Metazoa; Arthropoda; Insecta; Hemiptera; Aphididae. The record is from the annotation of a GenBank genome assembly.